Long non-coding RNA from Ictalurus punctatus (channel catfish), 3053 nucleotides. NCBI's taxonomy places the organism in Eukaryota, Metazoa, Chordata, Actinopteri, Siluriformes, Ictaluridae. The record is from Ensembl.
UUUUUAUUAACAAACAGCAGUUUCUGCUGUAUUGUUCACUGAUGACCAGAGUUGGGUGUAACGCGUUACUGUAAUCUAAUUACUUUUCCUGAUAACGCUGUAAUGUAACACAUUAUAUUUUAAAUUUAUGUAAUUUGAUUACAGUUACUGGUGUCAAUAAAAUUGCAUUACUUACGUUACACAUUUAUUGUUAAGAAAACAAUAUUAAGUAAAAUUAAGUAAUUAAGUAAUUAAAUGUAAGUAAUUUUAAAAUUAAAAUUAAGUAAUUUUAAAUAAUAAUAAUAAUGAAUCAUGUUUUGCCCCAACGAUUUUUUAUUUAGCCCUGAAUAAUUCUCCACUUGCAGCGGUUUGUCACUAUGUAACUGAAUGUCUUAUUGGCUAGCUCACAGUCAGUGUGAGUUAAAAUGGAUAUACUCUGUUAUUUUUUUAACUGAUACACUAACAUCCUCUGAUGCUGAGCAGGAAAACAUGGUGUAUAAAUGUCUAUAUGAGUUCCAGAUUAUGUGAACAUGAUAUGAGCAGAGCAUAAGGAAAGAUAAUGUGUUUUGCAUGGCACUGUAGCAGCUAAACACAUAACUUAGCUGUACCUCUCCUUGGCUAGUGACACCAAACUGGCCUAGUUAGAAAGGUUUUAUAUUUUAUCGGUCUCGUAGUCCUACAAACACAACACCCGAGGCAAGUGUUUCACUUUGUAUUGAAUUUUUGUAGGUUUGAUAGGUUUUGAAAGUAAUGUGAAAUUAUAGUAAUUAGUAAUCUAAUUACUUUUUUACAUGCAGUAAUCAGAAAUCUACAAUUUUAAAGUAGUAAUUAAUAAUCUGUUGUGGAUUACUUUUUUUGAGUUCCACUGCUGAUGACAUCGAAAUAUUCCACCUAUGGUUGUAGAAGGAUCAAGUUUUCCAAACACAGUACAGCUCUCUUAGAACUCUCUUCCCUUUUAUACAGUAGUGGAGCUGUGCGUUUUUUUCAAUACCUUCAUAGUACCUCCCUCACAGCUGCAUGUUUAUUCAUCUACACUUGCAUGGAACCUUCCUGGCUGACUGUAAUUCUCUCUUAGUGGUAUUCAAUGAGACUGAGAGUGUGUGCACACAGGUAGAGUGAACUUUUCCUUUAUGGUUUUUAUGUAUUAUGUAAUGUGAACAAAUAUACAGAAAACAGCACAGCUCUGAGAGUAACUCUGGCAAUAAAUGACCUUAAAAUUUUAUUAAACAUUCAGUGGGGUCCAAAAGUAUGAGACCCAUGUUAAUUACUUUGUACAAAAGGCCAGGUUUUCUUUAUCGCCAAUCUCUUCUGUUGAAGUGUUCAGAUGAUACUCUAAAUCUUUAGAUUUGGUCUAAAAUGGAUUGUAAGGUUUUACACAAACUUGUGGAGUCCAUGCCAGCUCGAGAACACACUGUCAUUAAAGCAAAAAGGGGACAUACCAAAUACUAAGAAACUCUGAAAUAAUUCAUGUAAAUAUUUCAAAGAUUCUACUCUUCACUCAAGUUGUUGUCAGUAUAAUCAAUAAUAUAAUUUGUAAUGAAAAAUGUUGUAUUAAAUUAGAAAUGCAAGAUAGAAUUCAAAAUAGAAGCAUUUUCACUAGUGCUCAGAAUUUUUGAUCCCACUGUACAUUUCAGUGCAACCACACAUUCGUUUCCUACAAGUCUGCUAACUGACCUUGUGUUCAUGGUUACACUGGAAGUUUUACUUUAUUAACAUGUUGCAUGUAGCUGGUUAAUGCUUGUAAUAUUUAAUGUUGAUGACACUUUGAACCUUCUUCAGUGCUGAAAACUUUCCAAUGUGCCACAAUAUUUACACAUGGUAAAACCAGUGACCAACCUUGUUGUUUCUCUCUCUUACUCUCUCUUCUGCUUUCUGGACUUGCAUGAUCCAACCUGAUAUCCUUUUUCUGGUUGGAAUGCUCAUCGCUUUGAACCCACUCGGUGCUGCUGAGGAUGGCCCCAUAUGGACAGCCUAAAGAUACAUGAGAUUACUGAGGAUGGUACCACUUAAAAACCAUAAAGAUGGCUUUUUGACCUCGAUUCAUAUGAUCAGCUAUGCUAUGAUGGCUUAGGAAUACAACUGCUAUGAUAGCUUUAAGACUGCAAUUGCCACAAAUAGAUUUGCACUCAAGUCUUCAUCAGUUAACAGUUGACAAUUUCAACAAAAUAUUUCUUGACUUCAUAUUAAAACUAUAAUGAAUUUCCUGGUUACACAAAUGGCACUUUUUGACCAUGUAGUACACAGUUACAGAAGGGAAUUAUAUAUAACUGUCACCCAGAUGAGGACGGGUUCCCUUUUAGGUGUGGUUCCUCUCAAGAUUUGUUCCUUAUCUCCUAUCAGGGAGUUUUUCCUUGCCAUCAUUGCCACUGGCUUGCUCAUUAGGGAUAAAUUUACACAUUUAAAAUUUAUAUCCAGAAUUUAUAUACUUCUGUAAAGCUGCUUUGUGCCAAUGUCCAUUGUUGAAAGUGCUAUACAAAUUAAAACUGAACUAAAAUUGAAUUGUUUUGUACUCUUACUCUCAUCAGUCAUUUGCACAACAUCUAUGGUUAAGUUUCUUUCUCCUCUGCCUCAACAUAAGGCUUCAGACCUGCUCUCUUCUUUCAAUAGCCAUGCAGAAUGUGGAUCUUGACUGCCCACGGCUGCCUGUGUUGUUUGUUGAUGAUUUUUGGAAAUACACUGAAAACAAAACAAAACAAGAAAAUGAAGUGUGAUUAAAUGAUUAAAUAAAACAAUGUAAUAAAGCAUGAAAUACCACUGUGUUUUUAUUCCAGAAUCUUUGUCUUGGACAUUUCCUUCUUCUGACAAUGUUUACAUUCUAAUGCUGUUCUAGUGCUGGAUUACUGACUUUAAAUCAUUCCAUUACCAGUCAUUAUAAAACUAGUUCCUGAUCAUAAAGACUGAGUGUCAAAAGAAAUGGUAUGUAUCCAUUGCAGAGUGGAGGCAAGACUCACAAGAAAAUCAACAAAUCACUUUGAAUAAAAUCAUAGUUCACACACUCGGAUGCAAAGUGUGCAAUAAAGCAUGCUUCCAAAGAAUAUGCUCCAAAUGCAGACAGUUGCAUGAUGUAAAUCAAA